CAACAGGGAUUGCCCUAGUAACGGCGAGUGAAGCGGCAACAGCUCAAAUUUGAAAUCUGGCCCUUGGGUCCGAGUUGUAAUUUGUAGAGGAUGCUUUUGGUGCGGUACCUUCCGAGUUCCCUGGAACGGGACGCCAUAGAGGGUGAGAGCCCCGUCUGGUUGGAUACCAAUCCUCUGUAAAGCUCCUUCGACGAGUCGAGUAGUUUGGGAAUGCUGCUCUAAAUGGGAGGUAUAUGUCUUCUAAAGCUAAAUAUUGGCCAGAGACCGAUAGCGCACAAGUAGAGUGAUCGAAAGAUGAAAAGCACUUUGAAAAGAGGGUUAAACAGUACGUGAAAUUGUUGAAAGGGAAGCGCUUGUGACCAGACUUGGGCCCGGUUAAUCAUCCACCGUUCUCGGUGGUGCACUUGGCCGGCCCAGGCCAGCAUCAGUUCGGCGCGGGGGAUAAAGGCUUCGGGAAUGUGGCUCCUCCGGGAGUGUUAUAGCCCGUUGUGUAAUACCCUGUACUGGACUGAGGUUCGCGCAUCUGCAAGGAUGCUGGCGUAAUGGUCAUCAGCGACCCGUCUUGAAACACG
Molecule: ribosomal RNA, 572 nt
Rfam family: Eukaryotic large subunit ribosomal RNA